AAUGAACGCUGGCGGCGUGGUUAAGACAUGCAAGUCGAACGGUUUUUUCAGGUGUAGCAAUACAUUUGAAGAGCAGUGGCGAACGGGUGCGUAACACGUGAACAAUCUACCUUUUAGUGUGGAAUAGCUCGGCGAAAGCCGGAUUAAUACCGCAUGUGGUUGCUUCUCGCAUGAGAGGCAUACCAAAGUCAGGGACCNCAAGGCCUGACGCUAUUAGAGGAGUUCGCGGCCUAUCAGCUAGUUGGCGAGGUAACGCUCACCAAGGCUAAGACGGUAGCUGAUCUGAGAGGAUGAU
RNAcentral lists this ribosomal RNA (295 nucleotides) under uncultured bacterium. RNAcentral describes it as "partial 16S ribosomal RNA". It matches the Rfam family "Bacterial small subunit ribosomal RNA", at positions 29 to 304 of the family's 1533-position model. The record is from RNAcentral.